UUAAUCCUGAUGUGUUCGUCUGAAUAAAGUGUUUGACCGAACAACUGAUUAUUUGGGAGCUCGUUUCGUUUCUGUGUUGCGUGCAGGCCUCCCCCUUGUGGGAGGAAGCAUAAUAUAUGCAGAACAGAGCACCCACCUGCUAUGAGCGGGAUCAAAACUUGUUACCGGACGGCACAAUCGGGAUUACU
Molecule: non-coding RNA, 188 nt
Organism: Oceanobacillus picturae
Lineage: Bacteria; Bacillati; Bacillota; Bacilli; Caryophanales; Bacillaceae
Rfam family: 6S / SsrS RNA
About the family: E. coli 6S RNA was the first non coding RNA to be sequenced, but its function was unknown until recently. It consists of 184 nucleotides that fold into an extended hairpin structure with a large single-stranded internal bulge. The 6S RNA specifically associates with RNA polymerase holoenzyme containing the sigma70 specificity factor.
Source: Rfam